UGUGAUGCAAACAAAGUUUUUUAUCUGAGAAAUGCAUUUUAAACAGGUAUCUCUGCUUAUAAGAGUGCACAACUGAGAAAAAUAUUCCGCAAAUUAUGAUUUAACCAAUUGAACGUAGUGUUCAACGCUUAUUUGGCUCAAAUUACGCGGUAAUUCUAAGUAAUUUUUAGUGAUUGGAAGAAGAGGGUAUUUUCCACAAAGCUUUGGAGAGACGGGGUUUCAUAAUGGUCUCUAGAAAGCCAGCUCUUUGUUAUACAUGUGUGGUCUACAUAUACUCCAUUCCAACUAUGUAGGAAAAUGGUUCCAAGCGUUCUCCAGCGGUUUCAUUCCAUCCCCGGUUAUCAUCAGAGUCAAAUGACGCUUCACCGAAAGGGAUGAAAUGCAACACUUGAAAAUAAGGUUAAAUUAGCUACAGUUGACGUGUUGGAGGUAACUGGGGGAAGAGAAGGAUAAACUGCCGGUUAAAUAUUUCACGGAUGAUACCUGCCAAGGCGCGGUGUAUUGUGUGUUGUCUACUUCAAUUCCGGAAUCCUACGUGGCAAGGUGGAUUCAUAACGGUGGCGGCACUCUAUAGGAAGCGCGUUUACCAAAUCUGACCUCGCAUGCUUAUUGCCUACCUUCCAGUCGUAGGCUGGUUUUACUAUGGAGUCUUAUGGGAGAUACUACGUUUUUUAUGUAUAUAAUCAUUAUUUAAAGAUUUCUGAUGUUGUACCUUAUACAAUGUGUUAGUGUACCCAUGGAUUAUGAUUUUACCUUACGGCAGCAACUUCAUUUUGUUUCUCCAGUACAAAAAAAAAUGUUCAAAGUUUUUCCGCCUGCAUGUAGGCAACAAAGCGUUCAGAUGGGUGAAAGAUUGUCAUUGAAAUAAAAUAACAGCUAUGCCGCUCAAAUUUAUUUAUACAAUUUUAAAUUUC
Molecule: long non-coding RNA, 914 nt
Organism: Photinus pyralis (common eastern firefly)
Lineage: Eukaryota; Metazoa; Arthropoda; Insecta; Coleoptera; Lampyridae
Exons: 2
Source: RefSeq, a predicted model, not a curated record